AGGACGAACGCUGGCGGCAGGCCUAACACAUGCAAGUCGAGCGCCCGUAGCAAUACGGGAGCGGCAGACGGGAUAGUAACACGUGGGAACGCGCCCUUCGGUUCGGAAUAACUCAGGGAAACUUGAGCUAAUACCGAAUACGCCCUUACGGGGAAAGAUUUAUUGCCGAAGGAACGGCCCGCGUCCGAUUAGCUAGUUGGUGAGGUAAUGGCUCACCAAGGCUACGAUCGGUAGCUGGUCUGAGAGGAUGACCAGCAUCACUGGGACUGAGACACGGCCCAGACUCCUACGGGAGGCAGCAGUGGGGAAUAUUGGACAAUGGGCGCAAGCCUGAUCCAGCCAUGCCGCGUGGAUGAUGAAGGCCCUAGGGUUGUAAAGCUCUUUUGUGCGGGAAGAUAAUGACGGUACCGCAAGAAUAAGCCCCGGCUAACUUCGUGCCAGCAGCCGC
This 448-nucleotide ribosomal RNA is filed under the name uncultured bacterium. RNAcentral describes it as "SSU rRNA". It matches the Rfam family "Bacterial small subunit ribosomal RNA", at positions 26 to 518 of the family's 1533-position model. The record is from RNAcentral.